This is a long non-coding RNA of Etheostoma cragini (Arkansas darter), 253 nucleotides long. RefSeq lists it as uncharacterized. Lineage: Eukaryota; Metazoa; Chordata; Actinopteri; Perciformes; Percidae. The transcript is spliced from 3 exons. The record is from RefSeq and is a predicted model, not a curated record.
UUUCUGUAUGUCUGUAUCAGUGUCUCUGUGUCGCAUCUUGUAGCGGCAGAUGGCCGCCCACCUAGAGUCUAGGUCUGUCUGAGUGUUCUGCCCGUUUAAAGGAGGUUUAUUCUCGCAACAAAUGCUUGCUCUCGGGGGUUGGGAUUGUUGGCUCUCUGUAAAUGAUAGAGUGUCAUCUAGACCUACUCUAUCUGUAAAGUGUCCUGAGAUAAAUCCUGUUGUGAAUUGAUACUAUAAAUAAAAUUGAAUUGAA